GACGAACGCUGGCGGCGUGCUUAACACAUGCAAGUCGAACGAUGAAGCCUAGCUUGCUAGGUGGAUUAGUGGCGAACGGGUGAGUAAUACGUGAGUAACCUACCUUUAACUCUGGGAUAAGCCCGGGAAACUGGGUCUAAUACCGGAUACGACCAAUCUCCGCAUGGGGUGUUGGUGGAAAGCGUUAUGUAGUGGUUAUAGAUGGGCUCACGGCCUAUCAGCUUGUUGGUGAGGUAACGGCUCACCAAGGCGACGACGGGUAUCCGGCCUGAGAGGGUGACCGGCCACACUGGGACUGAGACACGGCCCAGACUCCUACGGGAGGCAGCAGUGGGGAAUAUUGCACAAUGGGCGCAAGCCUGAUGCAGCGACGCCGCGUGAGGGAUGACGGCCUUCGGGUUGUAAACCUCUGUUAGCAGGGAAGAAGAGAGAUUGACGGUACCUGCAGAGAAAGCGCCGGCUAACUACGUG
RNAcentral lists this ribosomal RNA (471 nucleotides) under uncultured bacterium. Its description in RNAcentral is "partial 16S ribosomal RNA". It matches the Rfam family "Bacterial small subunit ribosomal RNA", at positions 28 to 507 of the family's 1533-position model. The record is from RNAcentral.